UCUCUUCUUGAUUGAAGUUUAAUUGCAGAUAAUUUAUCAAUUGAGCUGAAGAAGCCAAAUGUUUGUAUUGGAGAUAACAGAGUCCGUGUCCAUGUUUUAUGGUAUAAUUUUAGUAACAUGAGUCCAUGUCCACGUAUUGUUGUAUAGUUUUAUAGAAUCAAAACAAAGAGUUUGUCCACGUUAUCUAAUAUAAAUACAUUAACAUCACAUAUCCACACAUUACUCAUCACUCAUUAACACAUCACCCGUCCACAAAUCACCCAACCACGCAUCACUAGUCCACAAAUCACCCAUCCACAAGUGUUCUUUCCAUUAAGGGCAAAAUUGUCCACAAUUUGCUGCUGGCUCACAACAAAGUGUGUCACAUGUAAGAAGUGUCUCUAGGUGUAAUAGAAAGUCAAAAAGUGUCUCUUAGUGUAAUCAACUCUUUUCUUUAACAUGACUCUCCCGGUUUGGUUUGAUUUAAAUUCGGUUUAACUCCCAUUUUGCUUACAAACCAUUUCAAAAUUUCGGGUUUCAAUUUAGGGGGAAAAGCCUGAACCAACUUGAGAUGUUUGAUUAAAUUUUGUAAAGGGUUCCAACCUGUCAAACUUGACUAACCUAAUUGAAACCAUCCACGAAACAAAAUUUUCUUUUGUAUUUGCUGAAAGGAAUUUGAUCCAUUCAUUGCUAGUAUGAAGUAGAGUGACACACGCGCACAUACACACACAAUCACACGCUCGCAACUUAUAAUAUUCAGUCGCUCUC
RNAcentral lists this long non-coding RNA (747 nucleotides) under Brassica napus (rape). RNAcentral describes it as "long non-coding RNA (BNAP_LNC024681)". Lineage: Eukaryota; Viridiplantae; Streptophyta; Magnoliopsida; Brassicales; Brassicaceae. The record is from RNAcentral.